Molecule: ribosomal RNA, 519 nt
Filed under: Prototheca zopfii
Lineage: Eukaryota; Viridiplantae; Chlorophyta; Trebouxiophyceae; Chlorellales; Chlorellaceae
Description: eukaryotic LSU rRNA
Rfam family: Eukaryotic large subunit ribosomal RNA
Source: RNAcentral
AGCGGAGGAAAAGAAACGAACCAGGAUUCCCUUAGUAACGGCGAGCGAACGGGGAAGAGCCCAGCGUGUCAAUCGCGUGUCAAUCUGGCCUUUCGGGGUCCGAGUUGUGGUCUGGAGGGCGGCGCUCCGCGCGGUCCGAUCGCCAAGUCCGCUGGAAAGCGGCGUCGUAGAGGGUGACAACCCCGUGGGCGAUCGGCUUCCGCGCUUCUCGAGCCCGUUCCGCGGAGUCGGGUUGCUUGGGAAUGCAGCUCUAAGCCGGUGGUAAAUCCCAUCGAAGGCUAAAUAUCGGCGGGAGACCGAUAGCGAACAAGUACCGUGAGGGAAAGAUGAAAAGAACUUUGAAAAGAGAGUCAAAAAGUGCCUGAACUCGUUGAGAGGGAAGCGACGUGGAUUCGUCGAUCCUUCGGGGGCCGAUGGGCCGCUCUUUGCGGCCCUUGACGCCCCCCGAGAGGUCAGCGUGGGUUGGGCGCCGCGCACAUCCCCGACACGCCCGGGCAGUUCCCGCCUCAAGUCGCCUUA